RNAcentral lists this ribosomal RNA (238 nucleotides) under uncultured bacterium. Its description in RNAcentral is "partial 16S ribosomal RNA". It matches the Rfam family "Bacterial small subunit ribosomal RNA", at positions 96 to 334 of the family's 1533-position model. The record is from RNAcentral.
CGGCGGACGGGUGAGUAACGCGUGGGUAACCUACCCUGUACACACGGAUAACAUACCGAAAGGUAUGCUAAUACGGGAUAAUAUAUUUGAGAGGCAUCUCUUAAAUAUCAAAGGUGAGCCAGUACAGGAUGGACCCGCGUCUGAUUAGCUAGUUGGUAAGGUAACGGCUUACCAAGGCGGCGAUCAGUAGCCGACCUGAGAGGGUGAUCGGCCACAUUGGAACUGAGACACGGUCCAA